GCAUUUGUGGUGUAGUGGUCAGCACGCUGGGAUAGUAUUCCAGAGGUCCGUGGUACGAGUCCCAGCGAAGGCG
This 73-nucleotide transfer RNA is filed under the name Stegodyphus mimosarum. It matches the Rfam family "tRNA". Rfam says of the family: Transfer RNA (tRNA) molecules are approximately 80 nucleotides in length. Lineage: Eukaryota; Metazoa; Arthropoda; Arachnida; Araneae; Eresidae. The record is from Rfam by way of RNAcentral.